GAGAGUCGAGAGUUGUGAGAGAAAUUCAGAGAGCUUAAAAUAAGCUAUUGUUAUAGUGAUUUGAGAGAUUGGGUAUAUUGAGGUUCUGGAAAGUGAGCUAAAAUAUUAUAAUAUUUGUAAUCUUUAUUCUACUAGUAAAAUCGUUUUAUUUUGUCUUCGCCCGUGGAUGUAGGCUAAAAGUCGAACUAUGUAAUUUUUUAUGUCCUCUGUGAUUCUAUUGUCUCAUUAUUUCUCAAUUUCACUUUAGUUGCGUGUCUGUUU
This 261-nucleotide long non-coding RNA is filed under the name Citrus maxima (pomelo). RNAcentral's name for it is "long non-coding RNA (CMAX_LNC001994)". Lineage: Eukaryota; Viridiplantae; Streptophyta; Magnoliopsida; Sapindales; Rutaceae. The record is from RNAcentral.